This 754-nucleotide non-coding RNA is filed under the name Chthamalus malayensis. Lineage: Eukaryota; Metazoa; Arthropoda; Thecostraca; Balanomorpha; Chthamalidae. The record is from RNAcentral.
GAUCGUUUAGGUCCGUGUUGUAAUUUUAAUUGUUUGGUUGUUCUACAUGUAAAUUAAAGUGGGAAAUAUAUUAUAUAGAUUUUAAAAAGAUAAUCUCAGUAGAAAAUAUUGGAUUUGAAAUGAAUAUUAUAUCCAGGAAAUCAUAAAAAAGUGGAAAAUAGCGUGCCAGCAGCCGCGGUUAUACGCGUGCUUUAAAUUAAAAUUUAUAAAUAAAACUGUGCUUUUAAAAAAAAAUAAGAUUUAAAUUUAUUUUUAUUAUUAAGUAGAAUUUUAAUAAAAAGGAAUGAUAAAAUUAUAAAAGCUCUAGAACCGAAGUAUUUUGGACCAGGAUUAGAUACCCUGUUACUUUCGUUAUACAGUUUUAGAAUAGUAGAAUUUUUGAAAUUUAACGGAUUUGGCGGCAAGAUAGCCCAUUUAGAGGAACCUGCCCUAUAAACGAUGAUCCACGAGUUACUUCACUUUCUUUAGUAAACAGUUUGUAUACCGCUGUUGUCAGUUAGUUUUUAGAGGAAACUUUCUACAAUGAUAAAAUCAUUGACUUCAAGUAAAGGUGCAGCUUAUAAGAAAGCUAGAGGUGGGUUACAAUUUUAAGAAAAAUACGAAUCACAAAAAUGAAAAAUUGUGUGAAGGUGGAUUUAAUAGUAAAGUUAAAUUUAACUUGAUAAGAGCACUAACUUGUGUACACACCGCCCGUCGCUCUCUUUAUUAAAAGAGAUAAGUCGUAACAAGGUAAGUGUAAUGGAAAUUGCACUUG